Molecule: ribosomal RNA, 409 nt
Filed under: uncultured eukaryote
Lineage: Eukaryota
Description: bacterial SSU rRNA
Rfam family: Eukaryotic small subunit ribosomal RNA
Source: RNAcentral
CAAUAGCGUAUAUUAAAGUUGUUGCAGUUAAAAGCUCGUAGUUGGAUUUCUGGGAGGUGCCAAUGUCCGCCGACGUGCGUGCGCAGCGGCGCCUUCCAUCCUUCUGUUAACGCCUCUUGGCAUUCAUUUGCUGGUGGCGGGCUCAGAUAUUUUACCUCGAGAAAAUUAGAGUGUUUCAGGCAGGCUAGGCCGGAAUACAUUAGCAUGGAAUAAUAAGAUAGGACUGUAGUGCUAUUUUGUUGGUUUGCGUACUAUGGUAAUGAUUAAUAGGGAUAGUUGGGGGUGAUUCAUAUUCAAUUGUCAGAGGUGAAAUUCUUGGAUUUAUGGAAGAUGAACUACUGCGAAAGCAUUUACCAAGGAUGUUUUCAUUAAUCAAGAACGAAAGUUAGGGGAUCGAAGACGAUCAGAU